RNAcentral lists this ribosomal RNA (498 nucleotides) under uncultured bacterium. RNAcentral describes it as "bacterial SSU rRNA". It matches the Rfam family "Bacterial small subunit ribosomal RNA", at positions 9 to 507 of the family's 1533-position model. The record is from RNAcentral.
CGAGUUUGAUCAUGGCUCAGGAUGAACGCUAGCGGCAGGCCUAACACAUGCAAGUCGAGGGGUAGAGAUUGCUUGCAAUCUUGAGACCGGCGCACGGGUGCGUAACGCGUAUACAAUCUGCCUCUUACCGCGGGAUAGCCCAGGGAAACUUGGAUUAACACCGCAUGGCAUCCGGCCACCGCAUGGCGGCUGGAUUAAAGGUUACGGUAAGAGAUGAGUAUGCGUCCUAUUAGCUAGAUGGUAAGGUAACGGCUUACCAUGGCGACGAUAGGUAGGGGCCCUGAGAGGGGGAUCCCCCACACUGGUACUGAGACACGGACCAGACUCCUACGGGAGGCAGCAGUGAGGAAUAUUGGACAAUGGGCGCAAGCCUGAUCCAGCCAUGCCGCGUGCAGGAAGACGGCCCUAUGGGUUGUAAACUGCUUUUGUACGGGAAGAAACACCACUACGCGUAGUGGCUUGACGGUACCGUAAGAAUAAGGAUCGGCUAACUCCGUG